RNAcentral lists this ribosomal RNA (293 nucleotides) under uncultured bacterium. RNAcentral's name for it is "partial 16S ribosomal RNA". It matches the Rfam family "Bacterial small subunit ribosomal RNA", at positions 505 to 796 of the family's 1533-position model. The record is from RNAcentral.
GUGCCAGCAGCCGCGGUAAUACGGGGGGAGCAAGCGUUGUUCGGAUUUACUGGGCGUAAAGGGCGCGUAGGCGGUCAGCACAAGUCAAUUGUGAAAUCUCCGAGCUUAACUCGGAAAGGUCAACUGAAACUGUGCGACUAGAGUGCGGAAGGGGCAACUGGAAUUCUUGGUGUAGCGGUGAAAUGCGUAGAUAUCAAGAGGAACACCUGCGGCGAAGGCGGGUUGCUGGGCCGACACUGACGCUGAAGCGCGAAAGCCAGGGGAGCGAACGGGAUUAGAUACCCUCGUAGUCC